RNAcentral lists this ribosomal RNA (497 nucleotides) under uncultured bacterium. RNAcentral describes it as "partial 16S ribosomal RNA". It matches the Rfam family "Bacterial small subunit ribosomal RNA", at positions 28 to 507 of the family's 1533-position model. The record is from RNAcentral.
GAUGAACGCUGGCGGCGUGCCUAAUACAUGCAAGUCGAGCGAACAGACGAGGAGCUUGCUCCUCUGACGUUAGCGGCGGACGGGUGAGUAACACGUGGAUAACCUACCUAUAAGACUGGGAUAACUUCGGGAAACCGGAGCUAAUACCGGAUAAUAUAUUGAACCGCAUGGUUCAAUAGUGAAAGACGGUUUUGCUGUCACUUAUAGAUGGAUCCGCGCCGCAUUAGCUAGUUGGUAAGGUAACGGCUUACCAAGGCAACGAUGCGUAGCCGACCUGAGAGGGUGAUAGGCCACACUGGAACUGAGACACGGUCCAGAAUCAUAAGGGAGGCAGCAGUAGGGAAUAUUCCGCAAUGGGCGAAAGCUUGACGGAGCAACGACGCGUGAGUGAUGAAGGUCUUCGGAUCGUAAAACUCUGUUAUUAGGGAAGAACAAAUGUAUACGUAAAUAUGCUCGUCUUGACGGUACCUAAUAAGAAAGCCACGGCUAGCUACGUG